This 793-nucleotide ribosomal RNA is filed under the name Pseudomonas aeruginosa. Its description in RNAcentral is "bacterial SSU rRNA". It matches the Rfam family "Bacterial small subunit ribosomal RNA", at positions 1 to 783 of the family's 1533-position model. The record is from RNAcentral. Lineage: Bacteria; Pseudomonadati; Pseudomonadota; Gammaproteobacteria; Pseudomonadales; Pseudomonadaceae.
AAAUUGAAGAGUUUGAUCAUGGCUCAGAUUGAACGCUGGCGGCAGGCCUAACACAUGCAAGUCGAGCGGCAGCGGAAAGUAGCUUGCUACUUUGCCGGCGAGCGGCGGACGGGUGAGUAAUGUCUGGGAAACUGCCUGAUGGAGGGGGAUAACUACUGGAAACGGUAGCUAAUACCGCAUAACGUCGCAAGACCAAAGAGGGGGACCUUCGGGCCUCUUGCCAUCAGAUGUGCCCAGAUGGGAUUAGCUAGUAGGUGGGGUAACGGCUCACCUAGGCGACGAUCCCUAGCUGGUCUGAGAGGAUGACCAGCCACACUGGAACUGAGACACGGUCCAGACUCCUACGGGAGGCAGCAGUGGGGAAUAUUGCACAAUGGGCGCAAGCCUGAUGCAGCCAUGCCGCGUGUAUGAAGAAGGCCUUCGGGUUGUAAAGUACUUUCAGCGGGGAGGAAGGUGCUGAGGUUAAUAACCUCAGCAAUUGACGUUACCCGCAGAAGAAGCACCGGCUAACUCCGUGCCAGCAGCCGCGGUAAUACGAAGGGUGCAAGCGUUAAUCGGAAUUACUGGGCGUAAAGCGCACGCAGGCGGUCUGUCAAGUCGGAUGUGAAAUCCCCGGGCUCAACCUGGGAACUGCAUUCGAAACUGGCAGGCUAGAGUCUUGUAGAGGGGGGUAGAAUUCCAGGUGUAGCGGUGAAAUGCGUAGAGAUCUGGAGGAAUACCGGUGGCGAAGGCGGCCCCCUGGACAAAGACUGACGCUCAGGUGCGAAAGCGUGGGGAGCAAACAGGAUUAGAU